This is a long non-coding RNA of Neodiprion virginianus, 1692 nucleotides long. RefSeq lists it as uncharacterized. Lineage: Eukaryota; Metazoa; Arthropoda; Insecta; Hymenoptera; Diprionidae. The transcript has 8 exons. The record is from RefSeq and is a predicted model, not a curated record.
UACCAGGUGAAACUUGACUUCCAGGACGAGCGCUCCGUAGUUUCUGCGCUCAAGGUCCACUACCUGCAGGAACUCGACUUUCAGGACAAGCGCUCCGUAGUUCCUGCGCUGCAGGUCCGCGCUGCCUGGUGAAAUUCGAGUUCUAGGACAAGCGCUCCGUAGUUCUGACUGUCGAGAUCCUUGACCUGACGACUUUUGACCUUACGGAUUAUUUUCAGGUUUACAAGUUUGAUUAUUGGAAACGUCAUGUUUUUUACUAUCAAACCAGUAUUCAUGCUUCAUAUAACAUGUUGAAUCGAACCCAAAAACCGAACGACCAGGAUCAACAAAUUGUAAUUGAUGAGUAGUACAUGACAAUACCGUCGUUCCAUUAUAGCUAAAAUUGCUGUGCGUAGUGUUUCAAAUCUGUCAGCACUUAGCUGAUUGUUCUGUGGUAUUUUUUCACGAAAUUUAUUGUCAUAAAAUCACAAUACGUUAUACCUACGUGCAUGUGUAAACGUGAUUUGUAGCAUUAUGUAGAAAAAAUUUUACGGGCAGAUUCGGUUUGCGUCACAUGCACAAAGACAGUGUUGAUUCUGUAUACAAUGAAGCAAAUACCAGAACUUUUUGGGGACUCAUCGUGCCCCAGUCACCCCUAAAACUAUGUCAUCUGGUAAAACACUGACAACGAGGAAGCCAGCGUACGAGCACAAAAACCAGUUACACUAGGCAUCCGACCCCGAGCAAGCUUUGGCGACAAAACUUACGCACUCCAUUUUUCUUCCCAAUUCGAGAAUCCAGUAGCGAGGCGCUUCAAUGGCCAGCUCAUCACGUCGCAUUUUACGACAAUUGAUGACAUGAAAAUUUUUUUGGUAGUUUCCAAAUGUGAGUUGAAAUACACUCGAAAUAUUAGAUAGCUUCGUUAGUUAUCUCUCAUUACAAAAUAAAUAGACAACAAUGAACGUUUCGCUUAAGAAUGAUCGUAUUUGAUUGAUUUGAAGAAAAAUAUGUGUACUUUUCUCGAUCUUUCAUAUGGCAGCAUUUAAAGAACCCGGUUUCCACUUUGAACCGACACGAAAGAUAUUUUUUGUCCAUUAUCUGAUUUUAUUAUUCACCUUUUUUCGGUGUUACUUGAAUAUUUAGUUAUACAAUUAUUGAUUGCUUUCAGUUUUCAACCAUUUGUAUACCAUAAUAAUAUAAAUGCAAUAAUUAUGAUCAACUAUUUUCAUGUAAACCAAUAACAAAAAGCUAUGUGACUAUUUGUGCACGUAUUUGAGGUAUAACCCGAGGUGAUAAGCGGUGGUCGUCGGACGUAGUUGAAGGUGAUCGGAGGUGGUUAGAGAUGGUUGCGGGUGAUCAAGGUGGACGAGGAGGAGGACGAGGAAGACGAGGAGAACAAGGUGAACAAAGAGGACAAGGAUCAGUGCUCGGUAUAACACGAGGUGGUUAGCGGUCGUCGUCGGAGGUGGUUUGAGGUGGUUACGGGAUGGUUGCGGGUGAUCGAGGAUUCCAAGUAUAUGACAACAGCGAUACCUUAUCACAUGGACAAUGGCCCACCUCAUAAUCAAGCUUUACAAGUCCUCAUUAAGAUAUUAAAGGCUAUUAAUGAGGAUAGUCCAACGGUGCCCACAUUAUUAACGGACUACAUAUUGAAAGUUCUGUGCCCCACCUACUGAUCCACUGGUACAUAUCCUCCGACAUCUGAAGAGCGUC